Molecule: ribosomal RNA, 253 nt
Filed under: uncultured bacterium
Lineage: Bacteria
Description: partial 16S ribosomal RNA
Rfam family: Bacterial small subunit ribosomal RNA
Source: RNAcentral
UACGGGGGGGGCAAGCGUUGUUCGGAAUUACUGGGCGUAAAGGGCUCGUAGGCGGCCAACUAAGUCGGACGUGAAAUCCCCAGGCUCAACCUGGGAACUGCGUCCGAUACUGGAUGGCUUGAAUCCGGGAGAGGGAUGCAGAAUUCCAGGUGUAGCGGUGAAAUGCGUAGAUAUCAGGAGGAACACCGGUGGCGAAGGCGGUUCUCUGGGCAUUACCUGACGCUGAGGAGCGAAAGUGUGGGGAGCGAACAGG